UGCCGAGCUGGGCGCCCGGCCUGUCCCAUCCCCUCCCCUCCUCGCCGUCCCCACUCAGCCCCCUGCUCCCACUCUGAGCCAGCUGGGAGCGGGGGAUGCUGUUCACGUCCCUAGGAGCUGCUGCUGCCGCCCAUAGAGGACUCACAGCAGCCUCGUGUCGUCUGUGUGUGCAAGAUUGCAGAGUGCUGGGGAGACUGUUUGGGAUAAAGAGCUGAAAGCUCCACGCUCCCGAGGGAACGCUUUGGGCCCCUGCCGCUUCUGAAGCGCACCGAUAAUCCCGGCUCCCCCAGAAACCUUCCGAAGCUGGAAGAGACAGGCAAGACAACUGCAGGAGGGGUUCAGGAAGCACUUUUUCCCAGGUCUGGACAGCACUGAGAUGGGAAUGACUUCAGAAUAUUCCUCGUGCCUCUCCUGUUGCCAGCCCGGGACUAAGUCAGUCCCUGCGUGUGGUGGGAGGAAGCCUGUGCUGGACAGCGAGAGAAAGGUCCCUGCUGGUUGCUGUGUCCUCGGUGGGCAGAGAACUGUGACCUUGGCCGGAUGGGUCGAGUGAAAAGCUCAGUCAAGAGUGCACGAGUACAAAGCAGGGAGCUCGGAGUGCUCGGUUGCACCCUGCUGCAGCUCCUGGAGGAGCAGGGCCUGGCCAGCACCUUGCGUGAGCUUAUGAAACCCCUGUGCCUAUCAGCAGUGAUGGAAGAGGACGGGACAGGACGGGUGACUCGUCUCGUUCUUAUCGCUCCUGCGACAAGGCAGUGAGUUGUUUUUGUAUUCCUGACUUCCGUUUCCAUCGGGGACACGUGGCUUGGAGCGCAGGAGCCGUAUGUGUUACUCACCCACAUCAGAUUGGUCUGCAGCAGUGCAGGUUAUGAAUUACAGGAUGACUUGGAAACUUGGAAACAGGGAGAAGAAAUGAUUGUGUCUCUUUGCAAAAAAAUUGGCUACAUCAGGGCAUUAAUUCAGGGAAGGAACACUUCAUCUUUAACGUUCUGUGCUCUGCCAUCAUCACUGUGAGCCAUGAAAGCCUCCUGAGCCCUUCUCAUAAAAAAAAAAAAAAAAAAAAAAAAAUCAGUAUUUUAUUACUGUGUGCAAACUCAGGGGAAAGAUUUUAUUCAGUAUCUCUCAGUGCAACAUUAAAGCUUCAUUUUCUCUACCCUUGAACAGACUGAGACACAAUAUUACUUCUAUCAUCUUUAUUACAGGCAUUUUAAACUUUUUAAAGAACCAGAAAGACUGUUUGUGCACGUGUGUGUGUCAUUAAUAUCCACCCUCUCUCCAUUAGAGGAUGGGGAAAAAAGGCUGCAGAGCUUCCUACCACGGGCUGUAAGUGCAAAUGACGAGGAGCCAGAGGUUUAGUCACGAUGAUUUAUUAUUUCUUAAAGAACCCGGUUGAUUUCAUGAUACCAAAGCCUGUAUAGAAGACUGAACUCGGGACUCAUGAUGGUCUUCUUGUGUUUAAAAAGCUUUAAUGGCUUUGAAAGAUAUUUAUAUCAGACCUGGUACAUUUCUAUUAACUAUUUAAAAUUUAAUUUGGAAAAAAAAAAAAAAAAAAAAAGCAGCAAAAAGCAGCCCUGUUCCAUCACUGCUGCCACUCUGUGGGACAAAAGCCCGUCUUCCCUCCGCUUGGAACAGGUGAGAGACAGAACUAAACCCCACAGGAUUUUCUGCUUAUCACUUAUACGUGAGUUGUAUUGGGAAUGCUCUGUGAAAUCUGAUAAAUUGUUCUUGAAUGUGGCCCUGAGGGUAGCUGAACAUGUGUCCUAGGGUAACUUUAUGAUGCCUGUAUCCCCAGUCGUCUGUUCUGUUUGUGCUGUAUAUUGAGUCCUGUGCCUUUAAGACUGGUUCUAAGAGCAAGGAGAAGCGCGGAGUUUGUUUUGAGAAAACUGCCUGACUCCUCCA
This is a long non-coding RNA of Hirundo rustica (Barn swallow), 1893 nucleotides long. RefSeq lists it as uncharacterized. Lineage: Eukaryota; Metazoa; Chordata; Aves; Passeriformes; Hirundinidae. The record is from RefSeq and is a predicted model, not a curated record. The transcript is spliced from 4 exons.